AUGCCGGUGAGCCUGCAACAUCUCCGAUGAGCUGCAGGACCUGGACACCUUAGGUAUGCCCUGCUCCUCCUCCUUCCACCCUCAUCUCAUGUGCGCCAAGUCCAUCUAUCUCAUGUGCAUGUAGAUCAUGAUGUACCAGAACCCUGCAACAGAACUACUGAUGUAAUAUGCAAAGAACAAAUUAAAACCAUGUUCUAUAUCCUGACUUGUUAUUUUCUUAUCUAGCAAAUUGUAGACAUGAAUCUCUAGUUGACCUAUUGUUUCAUAGACAUAUAUCUGCAUUUCUGCUGCUUUAUCAUACAUUCGAUCCAUAAAUCUGCAUUUCUGUGAAAUUUUGUUAAAUAUAUAUUUUCCAGAUAGUCUAUACACUAAACCUAGAGGUUUGAAUAUCUACUCCAGGAAUGAAAAUGCUAAAUGACUUUGUGUUCACCCUUUUACAGGAGCUCCAGGCCUAGGAAAUUUCAAGUUUGAAGUGGCGUGUUCUGAUAGUCCAGAAAAGUGAAGAAGUCUGGAGUGUAUUUGUAGUAGGAGUUAUAUGUUCUGAUAGAAUCACAUGUAAUGGUGAAAUGAAUUAUGUAAAGAUUGUGCUAUUAGUCAAAAUUGGCAUGUGGUUUGAUAAUUCUCAUUUGUUUGCUGUUCUGACUGAAAUAAUUGUGUGGAAAUUGAAACAUUGGCUGUCUUUAAUUAGAACCUGACAAGUGGGACCUAAUAGUAUUUGGCAUAUAAAAAGGCCAUUUUCCAAAUAAUAUUCACAGGAAAAAAACCUAAAAACUAAGGAAAUGGACUGUAAAAAGGCCGAGGCCCAAUUGAUAAAU
This 815-nucleotide long non-coding RNA is filed under the name Triticum aestivum (bread wheat). RNAcentral describes it as "long non-coding RNA (TAES_LNC014720)". Lineage: Eukaryota; Viridiplantae; Streptophyta; Magnoliopsida; Poales; Poaceae. The record is from RNAcentral.